AGGGUAGAGAUGCUGGAAAAUUUGAAAUCAGCACAGCAGAAAGAAAGAAAAAAAGAAACCGAAAGAGAAGGAAGAUAUGAAAGAUAUGAAAAGAAGAAACAGAAAGCAAUAAAAUCUUGGCCAGCAUCCAGACCUAUGCUCAAGGGGCUAACACCGCAAGCUGCCAUUCCUCAUCACAGCAGUGGGAAGAGUGACAUGAUGUGACUUGGUUCUCAGUCCAGCCCCUCUGCAGUAAGCAUUCU
This 242-nucleotide long non-coding RNA is filed under the name Gallus gallus (chicken). Lineage: Eukaryota; Metazoa; Chordata; Aves; Galliformes; Phasianidae. The record is from RNAcentral.